CUAGCACAUAGGGCAGAAGGGUGGUCUGUUGCCAGCUAGGGGCACACAGCACAGACCCAGGACCACUGCCAAACAAUGGCUCAUUGUCUCAAUGGUUUAUUUCCCCUGAAAUCACAGAGAGCCACAGGACAACAGCACUAUUGGAAAUGUUGGCUCUGGACUAUUGUGCCUGAGAGUCGCGCCUCUCUUAGGGACCAGCUACGAAACCCAGAGAAAAAGAUCCUCUUAUUCCUGCCAGAGAGACCAGCAAAAGACAUUAGAAAUGUCUCUAAAUGUUGAACAAAGCUCCAUUGUGAAUGGGAAACUGAAUGGGCA
This 315-nucleotide long non-coding RNA is filed under the name Fukomys damarensis (Damara mole-rat). RNAcentral's name for it is "lncRNA (ENSFDAG00000025040.1)". Lineage: Eukaryota; Metazoa; Chordata; Mammalia; Rodentia; Bathyergidae. The record is from RNAcentral.